UUGAGCGUUCCAACCAAUUACAUU
This 24-nucleotide small nuclear RNA is filed under the name Arabidopsis thaliana (thale cress). RNAcentral describes it as "snRNA_17447". Lineage: Eukaryota; Viridiplantae; Streptophyta; Magnoliopsida; Brassicales; Brassicaceae. The record is from RNAcentral.